AGUCACUGACAUUAGAUACCCGCGUAGUCCCAGCCGUAAACAAUAUGCGUUAGGUGUGUCGGUAACCACGCGUUACUGAUGCGCCGAAGAGAAAUCGUGAAACGCACCACCUGGGAAGUACGGUCGCAAGGCUGAAACUUAAAGGAAUUGGCGGGGAGCACCACAACAGGUGGAGCCUGCGGUUUAAUUGGAUUCAACGCCGGACAUCUCACCGGAUAAGACAGCUGAAUGAUUGUCAAUCUGAAGGUUUUACAUGACUAGCUG
RNAcentral lists this ribosomal RNA (264 nucleotides) under uncultured archaeon. Its description in RNAcentral is "partial 16S ribosomal RNA". It matches the Rfam family "Archaeal small subunit ribosomal RNA", at positions 716 to 982 of the family's 1478-position model. The record is from RNAcentral.